RNAcentral lists this ribosomal RNA (301 nucleotides) under uncultured bacterium. RNAcentral describes it as "partial 16S ribosomal RNA". It matches the Rfam family "Bacterial small subunit ribosomal RNA", at positions 509 to 807 of the family's 1533-position model. The record is from RNAcentral.
CAGUAGCCGCGGUAAUACGAGGGGGGCAAGCGUUGUUCGGAAUUAUUGGGCGUAAAGGGUGCGUAGGCGGUUUGAUAAGUCUUGUGUGAAAUCUCUGGGCUCAACCCAGAGUCUGCAUGGGAAACUGUCGGGCUUGAGUAUGGGAGAGGUAAGUGGAAUUUCCGGUGUGGCGGUGAAAUGCGUAGAUAUCGGAAGGAACACCUGUGGCGAAAGCGGCUCACUGGACCAUAACUGACGCUGAGGCACGAAAGCUAGGGGAGCAAACAGGAUUAGAUACCCGUGUAGUCCCUGUCUCUUAUAC